RNAcentral lists this ribosomal RNA (495 nucleotides) under uncultured bacterium. Its description in RNAcentral is "bacterial SSU rRNA". It matches the Rfam family "Bacterial small subunit ribosomal RNA", at positions 28 to 512 of the family's 1533-position model. The record is from RNAcentral.
GAUGAACGCUGGCGGCAGGCCUAAUACAUGCAAGUCGAACGGCAGCACAGCAGAGCUUGCUCUGUGGGUGGCGAGUGGCGGACGGGUGAGGAAUACAUGGGAAUCUGCCCAGUCGUGGGGGAUAACGUAGGGAAACUUACGCUAAUACCGCAUGCGCCCUUCGGGGGAAAGCCGGGGACCGUAAGGCCUGGCGCGAUUGGAUGAGCCCAUGUCGGAUUAGCUAGUUGGCGGGGUAACGGCCCACCAAGGCGACGAUCCGUAGCUGGUCUGAGAGGAUGAUCAGCCACACUGGAACUGAGACACGGUCCAGACUCCUACGGGAGGCAGCAGUAGGGAAUAUUGGACAAUGGGCGCAAGCCUGAUCCAGCCAUGCCGCGUGAGUGAAGAAGGCCCUCGGGUUGUAAAGCUCUUUUGUCCGGAAAGAAAAGCACUGGGUUAAUACCCCGGUGUCCUGACGGUACCGGAAGAAUAAGCACCGGCUAACUUCGUGCCAGC